ACGGAAGGCAGCAGUGGGGAAUAUUGGGCAAUGGGCGAAAGCCUGACCCAGCAACGCCGCGUGAGGGAAGAAGGUUUUCGGAUUGUAAACCUCUGUCCUCAGGGACGAUAAUGACGGUACCUGAGGAGGAAGCUCCGGCUAACUACGUGCCAGCAGCCGCGGUAAUACGUAGGGAGCGAGCGUUGUCCGGAAUUACUGGGUGUAAAGGGUGCGUAGGCGGGACGGCAAGUCAGAUGUGAAAUGUAUGGGCUCAACCCAUAACCUGCAUUUGAAACUGUUGUUCUUGAGUGAGGUAGAGGUAAGCGGAAUUCCUAGUGUAGCGGUGAAAUGCGUAGAUAUUAGGAGGAACAUCGGUGGCGAAGGCGGCUUACUGGGCCUUUACUGACGCUGAGGCACGAAAGCGUGGGGAGCAAACAGGAUUAGAUACCCUGGUA
This 434-nucleotide ribosomal RNA is filed under the name uncultured Ruminococcus sp. RNAcentral describes it as "partial 16S ribosomal RNA". It matches the Rfam family "Bacterial small subunit ribosomal RNA", at positions 341 to 792 of the family's 1533-position model. The record is from RNAcentral. Lineage: Bacteria; Bacillati; Bacillota; Clostridia; Eubacteriales; Oscillospiraceae.